RNAcentral lists this ribosomal RNA (237 nucleotides) under Glomeromycotina sp. RNAcentral describes it as "partial small subunit ribosomal RNA". The stretch from base 40 to 237 matches the Rfam family "Eukaryotic small subunit ribosomal RNA", at positions 686 to 885 of the family's 1831-position model. Lineage: Eukaryota; Fungi; Glomeromycota. The record is from RNAcentral.
GGGUCAGUAGGUUGGUCGUGCCACCGGUACGUACUGGUCUCACUGAUUCCUCCUUCCUGAAGAACCGUAAUGCCAUUAAUUUGGUGUUGCGGGGAAACAGGACUGUUACUUUGAAAAAAUUAGAGUGUUUAAAGCAAGCUAACGCUUGAAUACAUUAGCAUGGAAUAAUGAAAUAGGACGAUCGAUCCUAUUUUGUUGGUUUCUAGGAUUGACGUAAUGAUUAAUAAGGAUAGUGGG